GCCUCUGUGGCGGAACUGGCAUACGCGCAUGGCUUAGGACCAUGUCCCAGAAAUGGGUUGGAGGUUCAAAUCCUCCCAGAGGCA
This 84-nucleotide transfer RNA is filed under the name bacterium. RNAcentral's name for it is "tRNA-Leu". It matches the Rfam family "tRNA". From Rfam's summary of the family: Transfer RNA (tRNA) molecules are approximately 80 nucleotides in length. Their secondary structure includes four short double-helical elements and three loops (D, anti-codon, and T loops). Further hydrogen bonds mediate the characteristic L-shaped molecular structure. tRNAs have two regions of fundamental functional importance: the anti-codon, which is responsible for specific mRNA codon recognition, and the 3' end, to which the tRNAs corresponding amino acid is attached (by aminoacyl-tRNA synthetases). tRNAs cope with the degeneracy of the genetic code in two manners: having more than one tRNA (with a specific anti-codon) for a particular amino acid; and 'wobble' base-pairing, i.e. permitting non-standard base-pairing at the 3rd anti-codon position. The record is from RNAcentral.